AUGGCCAAGAGGAAUCAGGGCUGCUAAGGAAGCAAAAAAAGGCUAAGCAAGCAUCUAAAAAGACUGCAAUGGCUGCUGCUAAGGCACCUACAAAGGCAGCACCUAAGCAAAAGACUGUGAAGGUUGUGAAAGUUUCAGCUCCCCAAGUUGGUGGAAAACGCUAAGCUGGCAGAUUCUAUUUUUAAAUAGAUUGGAUUUAAAA
Molecule: long non-coding RNA, 202 nt
Filed under: Homo sapiens (human)
Lineage: Eukaryota; Metazoa; Chordata; Mammalia; Primates; Hominidae
Description: HSALNT0399909
Source: RNAcentral